CCUGUGAAGGUGUACUGUGAGGUAUGCUGGAGGUAUCAGAAGUGCGAAUGCUGACAUAAGUAACGAUAAAGCGGGUGAAAAGCCCGCUCGCCGGAAGACCAAGGGUUCCUGUCCAACGUUAAUCGGGGCAGGGUGAGUCGACCCCUAAGGCGAGGCCGAAAGGCGUAGUCGAUGGGAAACAGGUUAAUAUUCCUGUACUUGGUGUUACUGCGAAGGGGGGACGGAGAAGGCUAUGUUGGCCGGGCGACGGUUGUCCCGGUUUAAGCGUGUAGGCUGGUUUUCCAGGCAAAUCCGGAAAAUCAAGGCUGAGGCGUGAUGACGAGGCACUACGGUGCUGAAGCAACAAAUGCCCUGCUUCCAGGAAAAGCCUCUAAGCAUCAGGUAACAUCAAAUCGUACCCCAAACCGACACAGGUGGUCAGGUAGAGAAUACCAAGGCGCUUGAGAGAACUCGGGUGAAGGAACUAGGCAAAAUGGUGCCGUAACUUCGGGAGAAGGCACGCUGAUAUGUAGGUGAAGCGACUUGCUCGUGGAGCUGAAAUCAGUCGAAGAUACCAGCUGGCUGCAACUGUUUAUUAAAAACACAGCACUGUGCAAACACGAAAGUGGACGUAUACGGUGUGACGCCUGCCCGGUGC
RNAcentral lists this ribosomal RNA (637 nucleotides) under Escherichia coli. RNAcentral's name for it is "partial 23S ribosomal RNA". It matches the Rfam family "Bacterial large subunit ribosomal RNA", at positions 1247 to 1869 of the family's 2925-position model. The record is from RNAcentral. Lineage: Bacteria; Pseudomonadati; Pseudomonadota; Gammaproteobacteria; Enterobacterales; Enterobacteriaceae.